CAGCAGCCGCGGGAAUACGUAGGGGGCAAGCGUUAUCCGGAAUUACUGGGUGUAAAGGGAGCGUAGACGGUUAAACAAGUCUGAAGUGAAAUGCCGGGGCUCAACCCCGGGGCUGCUUUGGGAACUGUAGAACUGGAGUGUCGGAGGGGUAAGCGGAAUUCCCAGUGUAGCGGUGAAAUGCGUAGAUAUUGGGAGGAACACCGGCGGCGAAGGCGGCUUACUGGACGACAACUGACGUUGAGGCUCGAAGGCGUGGGUAGCAAACAGGAUUAGAUACCCCAGUAGUCCCUGUCUCUUAUAC
This 301-nucleotide ribosomal RNA is filed under the name uncultured bacterium. RNAcentral's name for it is "partial 16S ribosomal RNA". It matches the Rfam family "Bacterial small subunit ribosomal RNA", at positions 509 to 807 of the family's 1533-position model. The record is from RNAcentral.